This 439-nucleotide long non-coding RNA is filed under the name Hordeum vulgare. Its description in RNAcentral is "long non-coding RNA (HVUL_LNC004210)". Lineage: Eukaryota; Viridiplantae; Streptophyta; Magnoliopsida; Poales; Poaceae. The record is from RNAcentral.
AAUUAAAUAGCAAUAAUAUGGUGAUAUAACAAGGAAUCCAUGUUGACAAAUGGAUAGCAACUUGCACCUGCAACUAGCAAUGCUAUAACAAGGGUUGAGCAAGCGGUAACAUAGCAAAACAAGGUUUGCUCGAAUGCGGAGGGGGUUAUAGGCUUUUCAUGGCAAUGUUGGGAGGCUGACAUGUAAGUGGUAGGAGUGAUAGAAACGAGACAACUAGUAUAUCAAUUAUACUAGUGGUAUCUAGGGAAAUAAUAAUCUUUCCUGUAAUCCCACUUGGAAUAAGAAUGAAUUCAUGAAGCACACAAACCAACAUAGUCAAACAAAUCCUCACACUCCGAAGCGGUUCGUAACUCUAUCGAGAAGAAACAAUCCGGGAAGAACAAUCAACACACAAUAAACACCAUAACAUAUGCAUGACACAAUGCGCAACCAUAUAUGA